GACAUCAGGAGGUUAGUGCAAUGGCAUAAGCCAGCUUGACUGCGAGCGUGACGGCGCGAGCAGGUGCGAAAGCAGGUCAUAGUGAUCCGGUGGUUCUGAAUGGAAGGGCCAUCGCUCAACGGAUAAAAGGUACUCCGGGGAUAACAGGCUGAUACCGCCCAAGAGUUCAUAUCGACGGCGGUGUUUGGCACCUCGAUGUCGGCUCAUCACAUCCUGGGGCUGAAGUAGGUCCCAAGGGUAUGGCUGUUCGCCAUUUAAAGUGGUACGCGAGCUGGGUUUAGAACGUCGUGAGACAGUUCGGUCCCUAUCUGCCGUGGGCGCUGGAGAACUGAGGGGGGCUGCUCCUAGUACGAGAGGACCGGAGUGGACGCAUCACUGGUGUUCGGGUUGUCAUGCCAAUGGCACUGCCCGGUAGCUAAAUGCGGAAGAGAUAAGUGCUGAAAGCAUCUAAGCACGAAACUUGCCCCGAGAUGAGUUCUCCCUGAGACUUAGAGUCUCCUGAAGGAACGUUGAAGACGACGACGUUGAUAGGCCGGGUGUGUAAGCGCAGCGAUGCGUUGAGCUAACCGGUACUAAUGAACCGUGAGGCUUAACCUU
RNAcentral lists this ribosomal RNA (597 nucleotides) under Salmonella enterica. RNAcentral describes it as "partial 23S ribosomal RNA". It matches the Rfam family "Bacterial large subunit ribosomal RNA", at positions 2334 to 2925 of the family's 2925-position model. The record is from RNAcentral. Lineage: Bacteria; Pseudomonadati; Pseudomonadota; Gammaproteobacteria; Enterobacterales; Enterobacteriaceae. RNAcentral also lists the same sequence under 2 other names.